AACGAACGCUGGCGGCAGGCUUAACACAUGCAAGUCGAACGCCCCGCAAGGGGAGUGGCAGACGGGUGAGUAACGCGUGGGAAUCUACCCAGUUCUACGGAACAACACAGGGAAACUUGUGCUAAUACCGUAUACGCCCUAAGGGGGAAAGAUUUAUCGGAAUUGGAUGAGCCCGCGUUGGAUUAGCUAGUUGGUGGGGUAAUGGCCUACCAAGGCGACGAUCCAUAGCUGGUCUGAGAGGAUGAUCAGCCACACUGGGACUGAGACACGGCCCAGACUCCUACGGGAGGCAGCAGUGGGGAAUAUUGGACAAUGGGCGCAAGCCUGAUCCAGCCAUGCCGCGUGAGUGAUGAAGGCCUUAGGGUUGUAAAGCUCUUUCAGUAGGGACGAUAAUGACGGUACCUACAGAAGAAGCCCCGGCUAACUUCGUGCCAGCCGCCGCGGUAA
Molecule: ribosomal RNA, 447 nt
Filed under: uncultured bacterium
Lineage: Bacteria
Description: partial 16S ribosomal RNA
Rfam family: Bacterial small subunit ribosomal RNA
Source: RNAcentral